RNAcentral lists this transfer RNA (25 nucleotides) under Dissostichus eleginoides (Patagonian toothfish). Its description in RNAcentral is "partial transfer RNA-phe". The record is from RNAcentral. Lineage: Eukaryota; Metazoa; Chordata; Actinopteri; Perciformes; Nototheniidae.
UGGGCCCUAGAAAGCUCCGCGAGCA